AAAAUUAUAAUUGUAUGUUGUGUUUCUUAAUAUUUCAGAUGCUGUGUGGACAAAGUAAUCCACGAUGGCAAAGCUUAGCUUAUACGAAGCAAAUGUACAGUCGUUUUAUAUGGAUGUCGGAAAGAAAUCAAGGGUGUGGAAAAAAUAUCAGAAGGGUUAAAAGAUUUAUGUAUACAGGUAACAGCAGAUCAGGUUAAAUGGAAAUUUAAUCGCUUAUAUAACAAAUAUAAGGAGUGUAUCGACAACAACAAUAAGAGUGGAAGAGCUCAUAUCACUUUUGAAUUCAUCAAAAUAUAGCAGGGUUGCUUAACAAACAAGAUUUUAUUAAUGUAGCCAUCACAGACCUGCAAAGAAAUUUAGGAAAUGUAGAAUGUAGACAUCAUAU
Pieris napi is the source of this 385-nucleotide long non-coding RNA. RefSeq lists it as uncharacterized. NCBI's taxonomy places the organism in Eukaryota, Metazoa, Arthropoda, Insecta, Lepidoptera, Pieridae. The transcript has 2 exons. The record is from RefSeq and is a predicted model, not a curated record.